Molecule: long non-coding RNA, 251 nt
Filed under: Elaeis guineensis (African oil palm)
Lineage: Eukaryota; Viridiplantae; Streptophyta; Magnoliopsida; Arecales; Arecaceae
Description: long non-coding RNA (EGUI_LNC046186)
Source: RNAcentral
UGCUAGAGAGUUAGAAAACCAAGGUGAUAGUCAUUAAAGAAGCGAAAGGCUUAAAUAAGCUGCCCUUGGAAGAGUUCAAUGCACUUUGAAGAAAGCAGCUAGGAAUCCAUCCAGACUUGGUAUCUUUUCUCAAUUCAGCAACCUCAACGUAUGCUAUUGGCUCACCUAUGACUCUGACCUAAGAGGAUCACCAAACUUGAUAUGAAUUACUUUGACUACUAUGGAUAGGAUUGGAUAGGACACAAGAGUAA